GGGGUCGAUCAGGUUUCGACUUCGUGCAUUGAGCCAGGGGAAGCGUGCCGGUGCAGGCUAGAGACCACCGCAAGCGUCGCAGCAACCAAUUAAGCGCCGAGAACACUCAGCGCGACUACGCUCUCGCUGCCUAAUCCAGCGAAGCGUGUCUGUCGGCCCGGGGUCUGUUCCCCCUCCGGUCACCGGCAUCGUUCCGGGAACUUACCUGACGGCCCCGUCAUCCGGACCGUCAGGGACAUUUCAGGGUGACUGGGCUCAUCGUCCGGGCAGGUCUGCGUGACCCGGAGAGCCGAGCAGGGAUAGAGCGGACUGCGCACGGAGAAGCCCUGGCGAGGUCGCGAAGGACCCGGGUUCAAUUCCCGGCGGCUCCACGA
Corynebacterium variabile DSM 44702 is the source of this 374-nucleotide non-coding RNA. The record is from Rfam. Lineage: Bacteria; Bacillati; Actinomycetota; Actinomycetes; Mycobacteriales; Corynebacteriaceae.